Molecule: long non-coding RNA, 386 nt
Filed under: Elaeis guineensis (African oil palm)
Lineage: Eukaryota; Viridiplantae; Streptophyta; Magnoliopsida; Arecales; Arecaceae
Description: long non-coding RNA (EGUI_LNC082031)
Source: RNAcentral
AAAUUUUAUGAAGAAACUAGUUUUAUAGAAAGAGAUAUGAUAGAGUCCUUGUCUAGGUCAAAUACCUAGUCAAGGCUUAUCCAAACAUGGCAAGAUAAGGGGUACCCAACUCUUGGGUGCCUCCUCCUUAUUUUCAUGCAUAUACCAUUAGCAAAGGGUGCAUAAUAUGUGCCCUAAAAGCCAUAAAAAUCUCAAAAAAAAAUCUGGAUAAAUUUGAUACAAAAAGGAAAGAGUUUUGGAUUUUUAAAACUCUAUCUCAUAGAAUUUGAAAUCCAAACUUAUUCCUACUUUGAUUUGAUCCACAACCACUUUUCAUAUAUGAAAGAAGAGAGAAAACCUUUUGGAUGUGGAAAAGUUUUGGGAGAGGGCUUUUGUCGCACAAAAUA